RNAcentral lists this ribosomal RNA (254 nucleotides) under uncultured bacterium. RNAcentral's name for it is "partial 16S ribosomal RNA". It matches the Rfam family "Bacterial small subunit ribosomal RNA", at positions 524 to 776 of the family's 1533-position model. The record is from RNAcentral.
UACGUAGGGGGCAAGCGUUGUCCGGAUUCAUUGGGCGUAAAGAGCUCGUAGGCGGUUCAGUAAGUCGGGUGUGAAAGCUCCGAGCUCAACUCGGAGAGGCCACCCGAUACUGCUGUGACUUGAGUCCAGUAGAGGAGCGUGGAAUUCCUGGUGUAGCGGUGAAAUGCGCAGAUAUCGGGAAGAACACCCGUGGCGAAGGCGGCUCUCUGGGACGGUACUGACGCUGAGACGCGAAAGCGUGGGGAGCGAACAGG